AGAGGCCGGGUGACAGGUGCUGCAUGGCUGUCGUCAGCUCGUGUCGUGAGAUGUUCGGUUAAGUCCGGCAACGAGCGCAACCCACGUCCCCAGUUGCCAGCAUUCAGUUGGGCACUCUGUGGAAACUGCCGGUGAUAAGCCGGAGGAAGGUGUGGAUGACGUCAAGUCCUCAUGGCCAUUACGGGUUGGGCUACACACGUGCUACAAUGGUGGUGACAGCUGGGUUAAUCCCCAAAAGCCAUCUCAGUUCGGAUUGUCC
This 259-nucleotide ribosomal RNA is filed under the name uncultured bacterium. RNAcentral's name for it is "partial 16S ribosomal RNA". It matches the Rfam family "Bacterial small subunit ribosomal RNA", at positions 1022 to 1303 of the family's 1533-position model. The record is from RNAcentral.